GCCUUUGUGGUGUAGUGGUCAGCACGCUCGGCGUGUAUUCGAGAGGUCCCUGGUUCAAUUCCCGAUGAGGGCA
RNAcentral lists this transfer RNA (73 nucleotides) under Stegodyphus mimosarum. It matches the Rfam family "tRNA". From Rfam's summary of the family: Transfer RNA (tRNA) molecules are approximately 80 nucleotides in length. Their secondary structure includes four short double-helical elements and three loops (D, anti-codon, and T loops). The record is from Rfam by way of RNAcentral. Lineage: Eukaryota; Metazoa; Arthropoda; Arachnida; Araneae; Eresidae.